AUGAUUAGGAGUGAGUCUAUGGAUGAUAAGGUCCGUGGACAAAAGGGGAACAGCCCAGACCACCAGCUAAGGUCCCUAAUUAUGUCUAAGUGGGAAAGGAGGUGGAUAUUCACAGACAACCAGGAGGUUGGCUUAGAAGCAGCCAUACCUUAAAAGAGUGCGUAAUAGCUCACUGGUCGAGAGUAUCUGCGCCGAAGAUGUAACGGGGCUAAGACAUAAACCGAAGCUGUGGAAGAUGCUUUAGCAUCUUGGUAGGAGAGCGUUCUGUAAGCCGAUGAAGGCAGGCUGCAAGGCCUGCUGGAGGUAUCAGAAGUGAGAAUGCAGGAAUGAGUAGCGAGAAGGCGGGUGAGAAUCCCGCCGGCCGGAAGUCCAAGGUUUCCAGGGGAAGGUUUGUCCGCCCUGGGGAAGUCGGGACCUAAGCCGAGGCUAAGUAGCGUAGGCGAAUGGAAAAUAGGUUAAUAUUCCAGGCAGACCCUAAAUUGCAAGAUACGUUAUGAGUGGCAGGCUGCGGAAGAUUUGGCACGGAUGGAGUGACGCAGGAAGGUAUGUGAGAAGGCUGACGGUUUAGCCUUUCUAAGGAAAUAGCGUGGGCAUAUAGGCAAAUCCGUAUGCUUAAACGUGAGAACUGAUGGGUAAGCACCUCUUGGUGUAAGUCACAAAUCCUACACUGCCAAGAAAAACUUCUAAGGAGGAGAUUAAGUGCCCGUACUGUAAACCGACACAGGUGGACAGAGUGAGAAACUUAAGGCCGACAGGCUAACUCUAGCUAAGGAACUCUGCAAAAUAGCCCCGUAACUUCGGGAGAAGGGGUGCCUAUAUUACUUGAGAAGAGAAACACUUCAAGGGGAAAUAGGUCGCAGUGAAGAGUCUCAAGCAACUGUUUACCAAAAACACAGGUCUAUGCUAAGCUGAAAGGCGACGUAUAUGGGCUGACACCUGCCCAGUGCCGGAAGGUUAAGAGGAGGAUUGAGAGAUCCGAAUUGAAGCCCCGGUGAACGGCGGCCGUAACUAUAACGGUCCUAAGGUAGCGAAAUUCCUUGUCGGGUAAGUUCCGACCUGCACGAAUGGUGAAAUGAUUUGAGAGCUGUCUUGGCUGGAGGCCUGGUGAAGUUGUAAUGUCGGUGAAGAUGCCGACUACCUGCAGUAGGACGGAAAGACCCCGUGGAGCUUUACUGUAGCUUGGCAUUGGGUUUUGGCAAUGUGUGUAUAGGAUAGUUGGGAGACUAUGAAGUAAUGGCGUCAGUUGUUACAGAGUCGCUGUUGGAAUACCAACCAUAUGUUGUUGAAAUUCUAAUCUGGUAACGGAGACAGUGCUAGGUGGGCAGUUUGACUGGGGCGGUCGCCUCCAAAAGAGUAACGGAGGCGUUCAAAGGUUCCCUCAGGUUGGAUGGAAAUCAACCUAAGAGUGCAAACGCAUAAGGGAGCUUGACUGCGAGACUGACGGGUCGAGCAGGUACGAAAGUAGGAGUUAGUGAUCCGGUGGUUCCAAAUGGAAGGGCCAUCGCUCAACGGAUAAAAGCUACCCCGGGGAUAACAGGCUGAUACUUCCCAAGAGUCCAUAUCGACGGAAGUGUUUGGCACCUCGAUGUCGGCUCGUCUCAUCCUGGGGCUGGAGAAGGUCCCAAGGGUUGGGCUGUUCGCCCAUUAAAGAGGCACGCGAGCUGGGUUCAGAACGUCGUGAGACAGUUCGGUCCCUAUCCACUGCAGGCGCUAGAAUAUUGAAAAGAUCUGUCCUUAGUACGAGAGGACCGGGAUGGACAAACCUCUGAUGUAUCAGUUGUCACGCCAGUGGCAUGGCUGAGUAGUCACGUUUGGAAGGGAUAAUCGCUGAAAGCAUCUAAGUGAGAAGCCCACUUUGAGAUGAGUGUUCUUUU
Molecule: ribosomal RNA, 1874 nt
Filed under: human oral metagenome
Description: bacterial LSU rRNA
Rfam family: Bacterial large subunit ribosomal RNA
Source: RNAcentral